AUGAAUACAUUGACGGAGAAAGUACGUUUAAUUGUGACUGAUGUAAGAGAGUUGUUCCAAAGGCUGAAAGAGCAACCAGGCAUAUAAACCGAAAGCUACUCCUGAGUGCAGCUAAUCCCUGCCGUUCACUGCGUUAAAGUGCUUAGAGAUAUGUUUGUCUGUGUACAAGCAUAAACUAGGGUGGUACCGCGAGAUAACAGUCUUCGUCCCUUUU
RNAcentral lists this non-coding RNA (214 nucleotides) under Caryophanon tenue. RNAcentral's name for it is "T-box sequence". It matches the Rfam family "T-box leader". Rfam says of the family: Uncharged tRNA acts as the effector for transcription antitermination of genes in the T-box leader family. T-boxes are found upstream of many aminoacyl-tRNA synthetase genes and some amino acid biosynthetic genes usually in Gram-positive bacteria. Lineage: Bacteria; Bacillati; Bacillota; Bacilli; Caryophanales; Caryophanaceae. The record is from RNAcentral.